This 1432-nucleotide unclassified non-coding RNA is filed under the name Hevea brasiliensis (rubber tree). The record is from RNAcentral. Lineage: Eukaryota; Viridiplantae; Streptophyta; Magnoliopsida; Malpighiales; Euphorbiaceae.
GUUUUGGCUUGUAGGCCAACGGGGAUGGCAAAGAAUAGCAGGUUGGUGCUUGUAUCACUUUACGGGGUGGUGAAGGAAAGUUUUGGGCUUUAUGUUGAUAUAUGUGAGGCAUUGGGGUUGUUGUUGGAUAGAUUUACUGAGAUGGAUUAUGCAGAUUGUGUUAAGGGAUUUGAUAUGUAUGUUAGUGCAGCAAGGAUGAUAGAUGAACUUGUUGGGUUUUAUGGUUGGUGUAAGGAUAUAGGGAUUGCAAGAUCAUCCGAAUUCCCUGCUGUGCAGAGAAUUACUGAUCAGCUGUUGGGGACACUUGAAGGAUUUUUGAAAGAAAUGACUAACAAGACAUCUAAGGGUCCAGAGAGAAGUAAGGAGGAGAAGGUUUCUAUUAAGCAGGAACCAGAACCGGAUAUGAAUGAGGUCAAGGCUCUUCCUCCACCAGAAAAUUAUAUCCCUACACCACCUACUGAGCCACAGCCAAAGCCACAACCGCAUCAGGUAACAGAGGAUUUGGUGAAUUUGAAGGACGAUGCAGUUUCAGCUGAUGAGCAGGGCAACAAAUUGGCUUUGGCUUUGUUCAAUGGACCUCCAACUACCUGUACAAAUAAUUCAUGGGAAGCAUUCCCAUCGAAUGGAGAUUCUGAAGUGACUUCAGCUUGGCAGACACCAGCUGCUGAGAGUGGCAAAGCAGAUUGGGAAUUGGCAUUGGUGGAAUCAACUAGUAAUCUAUCAAAGCAGAAAGCUACUUUAGGGGGUGGUAUGGAUCCACUGCUAUUGAAUGGAAUGUAUGAUCAGGGAGCAGUGAGGCAACAUGUGAACACUACUCAAUUGAGUGCUGGGAGUGCAAGUAGUGUGGCAUUGCCUUGCCCAGGGAAGAGUGCAACACCAGUGUUGGCAUUGCCUGCACCUGAUGGGACGUUCCAGCCGGUUGGGAACCAGGAUCCAUUUGCUGCAUCCUUUGCAGUUCCUCCCCCUUCAUAUGUGCAGAUAGCAGACAUGGAAAGGAAGCAGCACUUGCUGGUUCAGGAACAGCAGAUUUGGCAACAAUAUGGAAGAGAUGGGAUGCAAGGUCAAGUGGGUUUGGCCAAUAUUAGCGGUGCCUCUGGGUAUUAUGGCCCUAGUCCUCAACCAAUGAUGAUGCCUUAUGGAAUGCCACAGCUCAGUGGUAUGGGGCAACCAGGAGGGUACUACUAUACACAAUAUUGAAGUUAAUCCCUGCUUGUUUCUAUGGUGCACAUCACUAGGAUAUGCUUAUUUCCAACCUUUUUGGGAAGAGUUUAUAUACACAAAAGGUUAAUACCUAGUCCCAUUGUUGUUCGCAUCAGAGGGAGUGAGGAACAUAAAAGGUUUCAAAAUGUUAUGCUGCAAUAUUUAAUGUGCAUUUACUUUUGCAUUUUUUGCUAUCGAUUUCAAUACACAAUUUUUUUUUAAUAUAAAAAAA